GAUUUAUUAGACUGAGAUAUGGAAUUUUCCCUUUUCGUGAAAUGAACAUUUAAAAAGAUGUUGUUUACUCAUAAAUUUCUUGCUAUAUUAGUCUAGAAUAUAGGGCAUUCGUUUCAACAACAAGAUGGCGGCACCGUUUACAGCGUUUGUUGUCUUGUGCCAGGUUUUGAUUCGAAUGUUAUCUGCUUUAGAUAAAAGAAGUA
Long non-coding RNA from Centruroides sculpturatus (bark scorpion), 203 nucleotides. RefSeq lists it as uncharacterized. Lineage: Eukaryota; Metazoa; Arthropoda; Arachnida; Scorpiones; Buthidae. The transcript is spliced from 3 exons. The record is from RefSeq and is a predicted model, not a curated record.